CCUACGGGAGGCAGCAGUGGGGAAUAUUGGGCAAUGGGCGAAAGCCUGACCCAGCCAUGCCGCGUGAAUGAAGAAGGUCUUAGGAUUGUAAAAUUCUUUCCUAUGAGAAGAAAAAAAUGACGGUACCAUCGGAGGCAGCCCCGGCUAACUACGUGCCAGCAGCCGCGGUAAUACGUAGGGGGCGAGCGUGGUCCGGAAUUACUGGGCGUAAGGAGAGAGUAGGCGGCACUACAAGUCUCAUGUGAAAUACCCGGGCUUAACUUGGGGGUUGCAUGGGAAACUGUAGAGCUUGAGUAGAGGAGAGGCAAGCGGAAUGCCUAGUGUAGCGGUGAAAUGCAUAGAUAUUAGGAGGAACACCAGUGGCGAAGGCGGCUUGCUGGACGGAAACUGACGCUGAGGCUCGAAAGCGUGGGGAGCAAACAGGAUUAGAUACCCUGGUAGUC
Molecule: ribosomal RNA, 443 nt
Filed under: uncultured bacterium
Lineage: Bacteria
Description: partial 16S ribosomal RNA
Rfam family: Bacterial small subunit ribosomal RNA
Source: RNAcentral